Molecule: ribosomal RNA, 253 nt
Filed under: uncultured bacterium
Lineage: Bacteria
Description: partial 16S ribosomal RNA
Rfam family: Bacterial small subunit ribosomal RNA
Source: RNAcentral
UACGAAGGGGGCUAGCGUUGCUCGGAUUGACUGGGCGUAAAGGGCGCGUAGGCGGUUCGUACAGUCAGACGUGAAAUCCCCGGGCUCAACCCGGGAACUGCGUCCGAUACUGGAAGGCUUGAAUCCGGGAGAGGGAUGCGGAAUUCCAGGUGUAGCGGUGAAAUGCGUAGAUAUCUGGAGGAACACCGGUGGCGAAGGCGGCAUCCUGGACCGGCAUUGACGCUGAGGCGCGAAAGCCAGGGGAGCAAACGGG